UGCUUACACAUGCAAGUCGAACGAUGAACCACUUCGGUGGGGAUUAGUGGCGAACGGGUGAGUAACACGUGGGCAAUCUGCCCUGCACUCUGGGACAAGCCCUGGAAACGGGGUCUAAUACCGGAUACUGAUCCUCGCGGGCAUCUGCGAGGUUCGAAAGCUCCGGCGGUGCAGGAUGAGCCCGCGGCCUAUCAGCUUGUUGGUGAGGUAAUGGCUCACCAAGGCGACGACGGGUAGCCGGCCUGAGAGGGCGACCGGCCACACUGGGACUGAGACACGGCCCAGACUCCUACGGGAGGCAGCAGUGGGGAAUAUUGCACAAUGGGCGAAAGCCUGAUGCAGCGACGCCGCGUGAGGGAUGACGGCCUUCGGGUUGUAAACCUCUUUCAGCAGGGAAGAAGCGAAAGUGACGGUACCUGCAGAAGAAGCGCCGGCUAACUACGUGCCAGCAGCCGCGGUAAUACGUAGGGCGCAAGCGUUGUCCGGAAUUAUUGGGCGUAAAGAGCUCGUAGGCGGCUUGUCACGUCGGUUGUGAAAGCCCGGGGCUUAACCCCGGGUCUGCAGUCGAUACGGGCAGGCUAGAGUUCGGUAGGGGAGAUCGGAAUUCCUGGUGUAGCGGUGAAAUGCGCAGAUAUCAGGAGGAACACCGGUGGCGAAGGCGGAUCUCUGGGCCGAUACUGACGCUGAGGAGCGAAAGCGUGGGGAGCGAACAGGAUUAGAUACCCUGGUAGUCCACGCCGUAAACGGUGGGCACUAGGUGUGGGCAACAUUCCACGUUGUCCGUGCCGC
Molecule: ribosomal RNA, 789 nt
Filed under: Streptomyces sp. 702
Lineage: Bacteria; Bacillati; Actinomycetota; Actinomycetes; Kitasatosporales; Streptomycetaceae
Description: bacterial SSU rRNA
Rfam family: Bacterial small subunit ribosomal RNA
Source: RNAcentral